RNAcentral lists this ribosomal RNA (33 nucleotides) under Briza minor. Its description in RNAcentral is "partial 18S ribosomal RNA". Lineage: Eukaryota; Viridiplantae; Streptophyta; Magnoliopsida; Poales; Poaceae. RNAcentral also lists the same sequence under 20 other names. The record is from RNAcentral.
UACCUGGUUGAUCCUGCCAGUAGUCAUAUGCUU